Molecule: non-coding RNA, 31 nt
Filed under: Rattus norvegicus (Norway rat)
Lineage: Eukaryota; Metazoa; Chordata; Mammalia; Rodentia; Muridae
Source: RNAcentral
UGCCCAUGGGAAAGACAUUAAGAGGGAGAGU